UAAGGUUAAGUUAAUAAGGGCGCACGGUGGAUGCCUUGGCACUAGGAGCCGAAGAAGGACGUGACAAACGACGAUAUGCCUUGGGUAGCUGUAAGUAAGCGAUGAUCCAGGGAUUUCCGAAUGGGGGAACCCAACAGGUACUACCUGUUACCCAUAUCUGUUAAGGAUGUGAGGAGGAAGACGCAGUGAACUGAAACAUCUAAGUAGCUGCAGGAAGAGAAAGCAAAAGCGAUUGCCUUAGUAGCGGCGAGCGAAACGGCAGGAGGGCAAACCGAAGAGUUUACUCUUCGGGGUUGUAGGACUGCAAAGUGGACUCAAAGAUUAUAGAAGAAUGAUUUGGGAAGAUCAGCCAAAGAGAGUAAUAGCCUCGUAUUUAAAAUAGUCUUUGUACCUAGCAGUAUCCUGAGUACGGCGGGACACGCGAAAUCCCGUCGGAAUCUGGGAGGACCAUCUCCCAACCCUAAAUACUCCCUAGUGACCGAUAGUGAACCAGUACCGUGAGGGAAAGGUGAAAAGCACCCCGGGAGGGGAGUGAAAUAGAACCUGAAACCGUGUGCCUACAACAAGUUCGAGCCCGUUAAUGGGUGAGAGCGUGCCUUUUGUAGAAUGAACCGGCGAGUUACGAUAUGAUGCGAGGUUAAGUUGAAGAGACGGAGCCGCAGGGAAACCGAGUCUGAAUAGGGCGCAUUAGUAUCAUGUCGUAGACCCGAAACCAUGUGACCUACCCAUGAGCAGGUUGAAGGUGCGGUAAGACGCACUGGAGGACCGAACCAGGGCACGUUGAAAAGUGCUUGGAUGACUUGUGGGUAGCGGAGAAAUUCCAAACGAACUUGGAGAUAGCUGGUUCUCUCCGAAAUAGCUUUAGGGCUAGCGUCGACAUUAGAGAUUCUUGGAGGUAGAGCACUGUUUGGGUGAGGGGUCCAUCCCGGAUUACCAAUCUCAGAUAAACUCCGAAUGCCAAAGAAUUAUGGUCGGCAGUCAGACUGCGAGUGCUAAGAUCCGUAGUCGAAAGGGAAACAGCCCAGACCACCAGCUAAGGUCCCAAAAUAAUUGUUAAGUGGAAAAGGAUGUGGGGUUGCACAGACAACUAGGAUGUUAGCUUAGAAGCAGCUAUUCAUUCAAAGAGUGCGUAAUAGCUCACUAGUCGAGUGACCCUGCGCCGAAAAUGUACCGGGGCUAAAACAAUUUACCGAAGCUGUGGAUACCUUUAUAGGUAUGGUAGGAGAGCGUUCUAUGUGUGAUGAAGGUGUACCGUGAGGAGUGCUGGAACGCAUAGAAGUGAGAAUGCCGGUAUGAGUAGCGAAAGACAGGUGAGAAUCCUGUCCACCGUAAGACUAAGGUUUCCAGGGGAAGGCUCGUCCGCCCUGGGUUAGUCGGGACCUAAGGAGAGACCGAAAGGUGUAUCCGAUGGACAACAGGUUGAUAUUCCUGUACUAGAGUAUGUAGUGAUGGAGGGACGCAGUAGGCUAACUAAAGCAGACGAAUGGAAGUGUCUGUCUAAGCAGUGAGGUGUGAAUUGAGUCAAAUGCUUAAUUCUAUAACAUUGAGCUGUGAUGGG
This 1558-nucleotide ribosomal RNA is filed under the name Streptococcus sp. NLAE-zl-C503. Its description in RNAcentral is "bacterial LSU rRNA". It matches the Rfam family "Bacterial large subunit ribosomal RNA", at positions 1 to 1570 of the family's 2925-position model. Lineage: Bacteria; Bacillati; Bacillota; Bacilli; Lactobacillales; Streptococcaceae. The record is from RNAcentral.